UAUUGGUCAAUGGACGCAAGUCUGAACCAGCUAUGCCGCGUGAAGGAUUAAGGUCCUCUGGAUUGUAAACUUCUUUUAUCUGGGACGAAAAAAGGUCUUUCUAGAUCACUUGACGGUACCAGAUGAAUAAGCACCGGCUAACUCCGUGCCAGCAGCCGCGGUAAUACUGAGGGUGCAAGCGUUAUCCGGAUUCACUGGGUUUAAAGGGUGCGUAGGCGGGCAGGUAAGUCAGUGGUGAAAUCCUGGAGCUCAACUCCAGAACUGCCAUUGAUACUAUCUGUCUUGAAUAUUGUGGAGGUAAGCGGAAUAUGUCAUGUAGCGGUGAAAUGCUUAGAUAUGACAUAGAACACCCAUUGCGAAGGCAGCUUACUACGCAUAUAUUGACGCUGAGGCACGAA
This 398-nucleotide ribosomal RNA is filed under the name uncultured bacterium. RNAcentral describes it as "bacterial SSU rRNA". It matches the Rfam family "Bacterial small subunit ribosomal RNA", at positions 362 to 757 of the family's 1533-position model. The record is from RNAcentral.